This 446-nucleotide ribosomal RNA is filed under the name uncultured bacterium. RNAcentral describes it as "bacterial SSU rRNA". It matches the Rfam family "Bacterial small subunit ribosomal RNA", at positions 330 to 792 of the family's 1533-position model. The record is from RNAcentral.
GCCAGACUCCUACGGGAGGCAGCAGUGGGGGAUAUUGGACAAUGGGGGGAACCCUGAUCCAGCGACGCCGCGUGAGUGAAGAAGUAUCUCGGUAUGUAAAGCUCUAUCAGCAGGGAAGAAGAAAUGACGGUACCUGAGUAAGAAGCCCCGGCUAACUCCGUGCCAGCAGCCGCGGUAAUACGGAGGAUGCGAGCGUUAUCCGGAUUUAUUGGGUUUAAAGGGUGCGCAGGCGGCCUGUUAAGUCAGCGGUAAAAGCCGGGGGCUCAACCCCGGCGAGCCGUUGAAACUGGCGGGCUGGAGUUGGAGGGAAGUACGCGGAAUGCGCGGUGUAGCGGUGAAAUGCUUAGAUAUCGCGCAGAACCCCGAUUGCGAAGGCAGCGUACCGGCUCCACGCUGACGCUGAGGCACGAAAGCGUGGGUAUCGAACAGGAUUAGAUACCCCCGUA